This 200-nucleotide ribosomal RNA is filed under the name uncultured eukaryote. Its description in RNAcentral is "partial 18S ribosomal RNA". The record is from RNAcentral.
GCUCUUCUAGCAUAUAUUAAAAUUGCUGCAGUUAAAACGCUCGUAGUUUGAAUUAUUUUCCACGUGUGGGAUGAGGAAUCGUAGCUUUGGGGCAUUGCCUCACGCGUGUGCCAGAACUGCGAAAGUAUAAUCCUCAUCCUCGGUGCGAAAGAUAUAAAAGACUUUUUGGUGCAGGGUGUGUUGAUUCGUGCCUCAUCAUA